This 324-nucleotide ribosomal RNA is filed under the name uncultured bacterium. RNAcentral describes it as "bacterial SSU rRNA". It matches the Rfam family "Bacterial small subunit ribosomal RNA", at positions 28 to 334 of the family's 1533-position model. The record is from RNAcentral.
GACGAACGCUGGCGGCGUGCUUAACACAUGCAAGUCGAACGGAGCACCCCUGAAGGAGUUUUCGGACAACGGAAGGGAAUGCUUAGUGGCGGACUGGUGAGUAACGCGUGAGGAACCUGCCUUUCAGAGGGGGACAACAGUUGGAAACGACUGCUAAUACCGCAUGACGCAUCGAAGUCGCAUGGCUUUGAUGUCAAAGAUUUAUCGCUGAAAGAUGGCCUCGCGUCUGAUUAGCUAGUUGGUGAGGUAACGGCCCACCAAGGCGACGAUCAGUAGCCGGACUGAGAGGUUGGCCGGCCACAUUGGGACUGAGAUACGGCCCAG